ACAGCAGCCUGUGUUCUCACCU
This 22-nucleotide microRNA is filed under the name Bos taurus (domestic cattle). RNAcentral's name for it is "bta-miR-2334". Lineage: Eukaryota; Metazoa; Chordata; Mammalia; Artiodactyla; Bovidae. The record is from miRBase by way of RNAcentral.